GACGAACGCUGGCGGCGUGCUUAACACAUGCAAGUCGAACGGAAAGGCCCUGCUUUUGUGGGGUGCUCGAGUGGCGAACGGGUGAGUAACACGUGAGUAACCUGCCCUUGAUUUGGGAUAACUUCAGGAAACUGGGGCUAAUACCGGAUAGGAGCUCCUGCUGCAUGGUGGGGGUUGGAAAGUUUCGGCGGUUGGGGAUGGACUCGCGGCUUAUCAGCUUGUUGGUGGGGUAGUGGCUUACCAAGGCUUUGACGGGUAGCCGGCCUGAGAGGGUGACCGGCCACAUUGGGACUGAGAUACGGCCCAGACUCCUACGGGAGGCAGCAGUGGGGAAUAUUGCACAAUGGGCGGAAGCCUGAUGCAGCAACGCCGCGUGCGGGAUGACGGCCUUCGGGUUGUAAACCGCUUUCGCCUGUGACGAAGCGUGAGUGACGGUAAUGGGUAAAGAAGCACCGGCUAACUACGUG
Molecule: ribosomal RNA, 467 nt
Filed under: uncultured bacterium
Lineage: Bacteria
Description: partial 16S ribosomal RNA
Rfam family: Bacterial small subunit ribosomal RNA
Source: RNAcentral